GCCAGGCAUGGUGGCGUGCGCCUGUAAUCCCAGCUACUUGGGAGGCUGAGGCAGGAGAAUUGCUUGAACCCAGGAGGCGGAGGUUGCAGUGAGCCGAGAUUGCGCCACUGUACUCCAGCCUGGGUGACAGAGUGAGACUCUGUCUCAA
RNAcentral lists this non-coding RNA (148 nucleotides) under Pan paniscus (pygmy chimpanzee). RNAcentral also lists the same sequence under 1 other name. Lineage: Eukaryota; Metazoa; Chordata; Mammalia; Primates; Hominidae. The record is from Rfam by way of RNAcentral.